Long non-coding RNA from Peromyscus leucopus (white-footed mouse), 691 nucleotides. RefSeq lists it as uncharacterized. The transcript has 3 exons. NCBI's taxonomy places the organism in Eukaryota, Metazoa, Chordata, Mammalia, Rodentia, Cricetidae. The record is from RefSeq and is a predicted model, not a curated record.
GCACAGAUGCAGAACUAACUGAUACAGGGGAUCAACUGGCCUUCAUAGAUGGCAUCUUGAAGAAAUGUCUUCGGGGACAGGAAGGUAGCUCCACAGAUCCCUCACCUGCAAAUCCCACGGGUCGUUAAUGCCGCACACAGACACUUCACACUCGGUGAUAAUAAUUCAUCAACAUUUAGAGGGGCUCUCCAAAAACCCAGUGAAAUGAAUGGCAAACAAUAAACUAGAACCCCCAAGACGUAUGUGAACACUACAGGGAUUUAGAACGUCUCAAUCCCACCUGAAGUGUCUUCCUUCUUUGAACAUGAGCCCACGUGACUUACAAAUACCGUGUCCCAUUGUUUAAGUAUGGGAACCACUGUGAACUCCCAUCCCAACUUCCCUUAGUCUCCCAGGUUCACUCCCAGGUCCUCCCCUACCGCCAUAAGCUAGCUGCCAAGGAGGCUAGAGGACAGAUGUCAUCAGUUUGCUUCCCUAGGAAGGACUUUCCUUGGCUCUGUCAUCAUGAAGUUGAAACCGCUGCACUGGUACCCAACGUCCACUGUGACUCCGCCCCUCCUCUCUCUUCCUCUAGCCACACCCUUCCUUGCCUCUCCUGUUCCAAUCAGAAUAAAUAAAUGGCUUGCACACUGAUGUCUCCAGCCCUCCGAAAUCUGCAUGUGCCAGGCCCUUCAUCCACAAGUCCUCGUGG